UACAGAGGUGGCGAGCGUUGUUCGGAUUUACUGGGCGUAAAGGGCGCGUAGGCGGCCGCGUGUGUCGCGUGUGAAAUCCCCGGGCUCAACCCGGGAAGUGCGCGCGAAACUGCGGGGCUCGAGCGGAGGAGGGGAGAGCGGAAUUCAUGGUGUAGCGGUGAAAUGCGUUGAUAUCAUGAGGAACACCGGUGGCGAAGGCGGCUCUCUGGAAUCCUGCUGACGCUGAGGCGCGAAAGUCGGGGGAGCAAACAGGAUUAGAUACCCGGUA
This 268-nucleotide ribosomal RNA is filed under the name uncultured prokaryote. Its description in RNAcentral is "partial 16S ribosomal RNA". It matches the Rfam family "Bacterial small subunit ribosomal RNA", at positions 524 to 792 of the family's 1533-position model. The record is from RNAcentral.